Long non-coding RNA from Polyodon spathula (Mississippi paddlefish), 978 nucleotides. RefSeq lists it as uncharacterized. Lineage: Eukaryota; Metazoa; Chordata; Actinopteri; Acipenseriformes; Polyodontidae. The record is from RefSeq and is a predicted model, not a curated record. The transcript has 5 exons.
GAGCACGUUGGGUGCACUCACGCAAAGUUCAAUUUUGCGCGCGUAUUGCAAAUCUGAACCAGAAAACAGCCGAGAAAUAAGAGUCCGGCUAAGUAAUUUAAAAACAAAGCUUUGGCAGAAAGCAUAUGUCUCGGGAGCACUGGGUGUUAAAUGACGAAACGGGAGGCCUUUUUACAAGCUGUCAGAAAAUAAUACGUGGGCAAGUUUUUGGACUAUAUAAAUCGCAGUAAGGACCGUUCAGACCCAUUUGAUUUGGAUGAGCUGCUUCAAGAGUUUCCCAAAAAACAGAAGGAGGAAUUAUGGGAGAAUCUAGGGAAGGUCUUGACACAUGUUUUACUGGAGUUUCCUAUGGUUAAGUGGAACUGUGAGAUUGAUGAAGACAGUGCUGAUGAAGUGGAAGUGGAAGUGGAAGGCUCAGACGACUUUGUAAAGUUGUGUGCUUACUGUAAUUCAUGUCUAACUGUACAUAGCCUUAAAAAGAAAAAGAAAAGUAUUAACAUCCACGUGUUUGUCUGUUUAAUAUGUUUAUGUAUUCCCCCCUCUAGAAACACUAUGUCAGUGAUUGAAGGUGUGAUUAUGGUAGCUUGUGCUUCUGUUCGUGUAGUUGAUGAGGAUGUGACCUAUUGGGCCCUGCUAGAAUGUGCCAUUAUAUUAAAUGCACCUCAGACUGGGAUCCAGGAGUACCGUGAGGUUUCAUCGUUAUUUCCGAUGGCAUCUUAACAGACGGCGCUAAAUGACCUGUUUUAAAUAAAAUGCAUACCAUUGCAUUCCUUUAAAAAAAAAAAAAAAAGUUUUGAUUUGCCAGUGUAUCUUGUACUACUCUUGCAAAUACAUUUCUCCAGGGCAAGGCUGCAGACAUACGUCGACUGUGGAACCUCCACCAGGCACUGCUCAGCUUUGACUAUGACUCUGAAGACAGCAGAGAAGUGAAGGACAUGCUGCUACAAUGCUUUCUGAGUGUGAACCAUAUCAAAAGGG